Molecule: non-coding RNA, 24 nt
Filed under: Cricetulus griseus (Chinese hamster)
Lineage: Eukaryota; Metazoa; Chordata; Mammalia; Rodentia; Cricetidae
Source: RNAcentral
AGAUUGCUAGAAAGGUCAAGACCA